This 75-nucleotide transfer RNA is filed under the name Bacteroidota bacterium. RNAcentral's name for it is "Bacteroidetes bacterium tRNA-Asn". It matches the Rfam family "tRNA". Rfam says of the family: Transfer RNA (tRNA) molecules are approximately 80 nucleotides in length. Their secondary structure includes four short double-helical elements and three loops (D, anti-codon, and T loops). Lineage: Bacteria; Pseudomonadati; Bacteroidota. The record is from RNAcentral.
GCCCCGGUAGCUAAAUGGUUUAGCACGAAGCUGUUAACUUUGAGUAUGUGGGUUCGAAUCCCACCCGAGGCUCUA